AGUGAACGCUGGCGGUAGGCCUAACACAUGCAAGUCGAACGGCAGCACAGUAAGAGCUUGCUCUUACGGGUGGCGAGUGGCGGACGGGUGAGGAAUACAUCGGAAUCUACUUUUUCGUGGGGGAUAACGUAGGGAAACUUACGCUAAUACCGCAUACGACCUACGGGUGAAAGCAGGGGAUCCUCGGACCUUGCGCGAUUGAAUGAGCCGAUGUCGGAUUAGCUAGUUGGCGGGGUAAAGGCCCACCAAGGCGACGAUCCGUAGCUGGUCUGAGAGGAUGAUCAGCCACACUGGAACUGAGACACGGUCCAGACUCCUACGGGAGGCAGCAGUGGGGAAUAUUGGACAAUGGGCGCAAGCCUGAUCCAGCCAUACCGCGUGGGUGGAGAAGGCCUUCGGGUUGUAAAGCCCUUUUGUUGGGAAAGAAAAGCAGCAGGUUAAUACCCCGCUGUUCUGACGGUACCCAAAGAAUAAGCACCGGCUAACUUCGUG
Molecule: ribosomal RNA, 492 nt
Filed under: uncultured bacterium
Lineage: Bacteria
Description: partial 16S ribosomal RNA
Rfam family: Bacterial small subunit ribosomal RNA
Source: RNAcentral